CCAUCCUUUUCAGAAAGAAGAAUCAGAAGCAGUGUGUGUUCAUAUGGGAAGGGCAGCAUAUAAUGGUUUUGCCCUGUGCUAUGUUAACUAAGGCUCUUUUUCCUGUAGAACAUUAUCUUGGUCCACUGUCUCAAUGACAUCAUGUUAAUUGGACUGGAUGAGGAAGAAAUGGCAAGUGCAUUGGAGGUUUUGGUAAGACACAUACAUGUACUCCAAAGAACAGAAGAUGCAUCUAAUGAAGAUUCAAGGACCUGACAUAUCCGUUUUUAGGAAUAUAGCCAUUUGGGACAUGCCAGAACAGCUUUUUGAAAGAAAAGGACAGUCUAAUGCCUCUCAUAUUGUGCACCCCUAAGAAAGAAGCACAGCUUUUUAAAGGCUUCUUUGGGUUCUAGGGACAGCAUAUUUCAUACUUGGAAAUACUGUUUCAACUCAUUCGCCAAGUGACACAAAAGAUUACCAACUUCAUUUGAGACUUCAAGCAAAAAAGAGCUCUGCUACGUGAUUUGCCACCGGAACUUGGUAGAUGGAAAAUAUGAGAGCUCAACUGACCAUGCAGCCAGAACUGCCCAUCCUAACUUAGGUAUUUCCAACCUCCAUCAAAUCAUAAGGUUGAGCUAAACCAAUAGCAAUCCACUGUAAGAUCGAAGUGAUAUAUCUGGAAUUGGGAAUUGGCAGAGACAAAAGGCAGAAGUUAAGUUUCAGAGGGCACGGACCUCCAAAUAACCUACCAUUGUUAUGCUAUCACCUUUCCCUAAGCUCACCCCUGUUAUACUGUCACCUUUCCCUAAGCUCACCCCUGUUAUACUGUCACCUUUCCCUAAGCUCACCGUUAUACUGUUGCCUUUCCCUAUAGCCACGUAGGCAUCCCUUUUGACUGACUGACAAAGGAAGAAAAAGUUACACCUGGGUCAUGAAUGGGUUGGCUCUCUAUGGGGGUCCAAGCUGAGAAAGCACUGUUGCUACUCUACAGUUCCACCUUUGGUGUGAGUAGAUAUUCCAUAAUAUUUCUGUAAACCUUCUGAUGGUGUCCCUGAGAGACAGCAAUGAGGAGUAACACUCUCAAUGUUUAGAGGAUCAGAUGGUCACAGCCAUUUUUAUGGCUGGAGGUAAGAAUAAAUAGGAACUUACAGGAAGUAACCUCUCGUUUGGCUGAUUGGAUGGGGGCUUGGAAGAAGAGCGAUAGAAAGAUCAUAGAAAAAAAGAUCUGGGAAAGAGGCAUGUGCCUCUGCCUGUGGCUGUAGAUUGGAAGUUUGAAUAUCUUUGCAUCUCAUGGCACUGCCCGCAAGGAAACAUUCACCAAGAAUGAGGCAUUAAACAGCCGUGUAGACAGCAUGACUCAGCCAGUUGAUGUCAUCAGCAUUUCAUUGCCCAAUGCUGGCCUGAUGGAUGCAUGAAGAAACUGAUCAUUGCUGAGGGAUGGGCUCAGUGGCAUUUGUCCUCACUAACCAAGGCUGAUUUAGGUAUUGUUCUCCAACUCCAUCUAGCUGCUGAUUCCCCAAAUUGCUAGCAAAAGAGAUCAUUACUGAGUCUCUGGUACAGCAAAAUCCCUCAGGGAAACCAACCAGCCGCUCAGUGGCAAGUUGAUUACACUGGAACCUUUCUAUCCUGGAAAAGGUAGUGAUUCAUCUCGACUGGAAAAGUCACAUAUUGUGGUAUGAGUUUCCUUUUCCUACCACAAGGCCUCAGCUAGCACCAUCAGAAGAACGGAAUAUCUACCCACACCAUAUAUGGUGUAACAUAGCCUCAGACCAAACAACAAUGUUGUAGGAGUGUACACAUAACCAUGUAUCUAUUGGUUCUGUUACAUUCUGCACCACUCUGAAGUUGCAGGUCUGAAAGAUAAUGGAAUUGACUUUUGAAGGAGCAGCUUAGAUACUGGCUUGCAGAUGAUACCUUGCACAGAUGAGGCAUUAUCUUUCAGGAUGUAAUAUAUACCCUAAAUCAAAGACCCUUUUACAGUUCUAUUCUCCAGUGGGUCCAGGAUGGCUCUACUUAUCAUCACUACCAGUGAAUGACUCAGUUGAGAAAUGUUUCCUCAAUAAUGCAUGUUUUGGUUCUGUGGAUUCUAAACUAGGUUCUGGAUUCUAAAGUGGAAAUUGUUUUACCAGGGGGCCCAGUAAGAGUCCCAUUAAACUUUAAACUAUGGCUACUGUAGGGUCAUUUAAGUUUCUUCAUGUCAAGAGUCCAGUAAGCAAUAAAAGAAAACAAUGUUGGUAGAGAAAUGGACAAGUACAGCAGCCACAGUAUGGUGUGGUUACCAGAAGCCUAGGCACUCAGGGAUGACUGUCUGGGUAACCCCACCAGUUUCCCAGAAAAAGAGACCAACCAGAAACUUGAAGGAGUUCUUCCCAGAUGGAAUAAAUUUACCGUGUGAAUCACGUGAAUCCAAGGGAUGCAAGGAUUGGCCUAUACUGGAUUGGAUGCUCUGGUAUACUACUCAGAUUUCCUCUUCAGAACUAAUGCAUUUAUCCCCCAGCUAUGAAAUUGUUGGCUGCUGGCAGUCUAUAGCUAAUGCAGUCACUGGAAAUUAUCCUUGGUUGAAGGGACCUAACUUGUCCAAGUCUACACCUAUUUCCAGGAAUAGUUCAAUCCAUUGACUUGUUGAUGCAGGACUACACAGGUCAAGCCUUCUUGUUUUGAUGUGGACAAAUCUGAAGGGAUAUCCCAGCUCCAGACCUCGCAUAGGUCUGAGCUAAAGAGACCUCAUAGGUCUGUGUCAAUUUCUGUCUUUACCCAGUCCUGCUUCUCUCAUUCCUUUAUAGGUGUUGUUCUGGAACUUCCUAAUAAACCAGCUGCAUGCAAAUAUCUGCCUCAGAGUUUGUUUUCUAAAAAGACUUCUCCUAAGGUAGAAGGAAAACUCUCCCUGCUUCCAGGCUUUUGAACAUGCUAACUACUAGGAGUAUCCUCGUCCAUCCUCCUGAGCUUUACCUAAUCCAGUGACUUCUUUUGAUUACACAGAAUUCUCCCCAGGAGUCUCUAAAAGACAAUAAAACCAGGAUGUAACCCUUGGAAGAUUGAUACAUAAGAGUAGGUGGGAAAAGAAGUAGGUACAAGGAUAGAGGGAAAGAUAGGCUGGAGAUGAGAAAAGUUCCCUUAAAACGUUGC
This 3105-nucleotide long non-coding RNA is filed under the name Homo sapiens (human). RNAcentral's name for it is "HSALNT0313946". Lineage: Eukaryota; Metazoa; Chordata; Mammalia; Primates; Hominidae. The record is from RNAcentral.